This is a non-coding RNA of Microdochium trichocladiopsis, 73 nucleotides long. NCBI's taxonomy places the organism in Eukaryota, Fungi, Ascomycota, Sordariomycetes, Xylariales, Microdochiaceae. The record is from the annotation of a RefSeq genome assembly.
GUCGGGAUAGUUUAAUGGUUAGAAUUCACGUAUCUUCCUCGUGCGAUGCAUGGUUCGAUUCCUGCUCCCGGCG